GCACGAUUAUCUUAUAGGUGAUAUUUUUGAAAAUCAAAUGUUUGCUGUUUUAUGAAUUUUACGACUAAUUACUACCUUGAGUAGUUUUUUUAGAGCCAUAUGGUUGCAAAUUACAAGAUGCCAUAUACAUUUUACAACUUAAUAUAUCACUUCAAACCUUACCUAAGUUAUCAUGUGUUCAUAUUGGAAAUGCUAGCCUUGUUUUUUUAAUAACCAUA
Molecule: long non-coding RNA, 218 nt
Filed under: Mytilus galloprovincialis (Mediterranean mussel)
Lineage: Eukaryota; Metazoa; Mollusca; Bivalvia; Mytilida; Mytilidae
Source: RNAcentral